AUCGGUACGGGUUGUGGGAGCAAGAGCCCGGAGAUGGAUUCUGAGACACGAAUCCAGGCCCUGCGGGGCGCAGCAGGCGCGAAAACUUUACAAUGCGAGAAAUCGUGAUAAGGGAACCCCGAGUGCCCGUAAAUUCGGGCUGUCCGCCAGUGCAAAAAACUGGUGAAGAAAGAGCCGGGCAAGACCGGUGCCAGCCGCCGCGGUAAUACCGGCGGCUCGAGUGGUGGCCACUAUUACUGGGCUUAAAGCGUCCGUAGCUUGGUUGUUGAGUCUCCUGGGAAAUCCAUCGGCUCAACCGAUGGGCGUUCAGGAGAUACUGGCAACCUAGGGACCGGGAGAGGUGAGAGGUACUCCAGGGGUAGGAGUGAAAUCCUGUAAUCCUUGGGGGACCACCUGUGGCGAAGGCGUCUCACCAGAACGGCUCCGACAGUGAGGGACGAAAGCUGGGGGAGCAAACCGGAUUAGAUACCCGGGUAGUCCCAGCUGUAAACUAUGCGCGUUAGGUG
Molecule: ribosomal RNA, 506 nt
Filed under: uncultured Methanomicrobiales archaeon
Lineage: Archaea; Methanobacteriati; Methanobacteriota; Methanomicrobia; Methanomicrobiales
Description: bacterial SSU rRNA
Rfam family: Archaeal small subunit ribosomal RNA
Source: RNAcentral